UACGAGGGAUGCAAGCGUUAUCCGGAAUUAUUGGGCGUAAAGCGUUUGUAGGCGGGCGAGUGUGUUUAAUGUUAAAUCUUAAAGCUCAACUUUGAAAUUGCGUUAAAAACUGCUUGUCUUGAGUAUGGUAGGGGUAAAGGGAAUUCCCAGUGUAGCGGUGAAAUGCGUAGAUAUUGGGAAGAACACUAAACAGCGAAGGCACUUUACUAGGCUAAUACUGACGCUGAGAAACGAAAGGUAAGGUAGCGAAACGGAUUAGAUACCCGUGUAGUCUUACCCGUAAACUAUGGACACUAAACGGUAAAUUUUUAAUUUACUGUUAAAGCUAACGCGUUAAGUGUCCCGCCUGGGGAGUAUGCUUGCAAAAGUGAAACUCAAAGGAAUUGACGGGGGCCCGCACAAGCGGUGGAGCAUGUGGUUUAAUUCGACGGUACACGAAGAACCUUACCAGGAUUUGACAUGCUAGAUAGUUGCUUGAAAGAGUAACGUGCCGUAAGGAAUCUAGACACAGGUGGUGCAUGGCUGUCGUCAGUUCGUGUUGUGAAAUGUUGGGUUAAGUCCCGCAACGAACGCAACCCUUGUCUUUAGUUAUUUUCUAAAGAGACUGCCUGUAAUAAACAGGAGGAAGGUAAGGAUGAGGUCAAGUCAUCAUGCCCCUUAUGUCCUGGGCUACACACGUGCUACAAUGGGAAAGACAAUGAGCUGCAAAUCUGUAAAUUUAAGCAAAUCUCUUAAACUUUCUCGUAGUUCGGAUUGUGGGCUGCAACUCGCCCACAUGAAGUUGGAAUCGCUAGUAAUUGCCAGUCAGCUAUAUGGCGGUGAAUCCGUUCCCGGGCCU
This 838-nucleotide ribosomal RNA is filed under the name uncultured bacterium. RNAcentral describes it as "bacterial SSU rRNA". It matches the Rfam family "Bacterial small subunit ribosomal RNA", at positions 524 to 1381 of the family's 1533-position model. The record is from RNAcentral.